This 109-nucleotide non-coding RNA is filed under the name Bacillus sp. (in: firmicutes). RNAcentral describes it as "Bacillus sp. SAM-I sequence". It matches the Rfam family "SAM riboswitch aptamer (S box leader)". From Rfam's summary of the family: The SAM riboswitch is found upstream of a number of genes which code for proteins involved in methionine or cysteine biosynthesis in Gram-positive bacteria. The record is from RNAcentral. Lineage: Bacteria; Bacillati; Bacillota; Bacilli; Caryophanales; Bacillaceae.
UUCUUAUCCAGAGAGGUGGAGGGAACGGCCCUUUGAAACCUCGGCAACAGGCUUCCAUGUAAAGCACUGUGCCAACUCCUUCAAGCAACCAAGCUUGAAAAGAUAAGAA